This 400-nucleotide ribosomal RNA is filed under the name phytoplankton environmental sample. RNAcentral describes it as "partial small subunit ribosomal RNA". It matches the Rfam family "Eukaryotic small subunit ribosomal RNA", at positions 587 to 984 of the family's 1831-position model. The record is from RNAcentral.
AGCUCCAAUAGCGUAUAUUAAAGUUGUUGCAGUUAAAAAGCUCGUAGUUGGAUUUCUGGUCUGAUGCCCUGGCCCGCCGCAAUUUCGUGGUGUGUGCCGGCUGUGCGUCUACCAUCCUUCCAGAGAACGUUCCUACCCUUCAUUGGGCCGGGUUCGGGAUCUGGAUCAUUUACUUUGAAAAAAUUAGAGUGUUUAAAGCAGGCUUUUGCUAUGAAUACAUUAGCAUGGAAUAAUAACUUAGGACUUCGGUUCUAUUUUGUUGGUUUCUAGAACUGAAGUAAUGAUUGAUAGGGAUCGUUGGGGGUGCUAGUAUUGAGCGGCCAGAGGUGAAAUUCUUGGAUUCGCUCAAGACUAACUUAUGCGAAAGCAUUCACCAAGGAGGUCUUCUUUAAUCAAGAAC